RNAcentral lists this long non-coding RNA (496 nucleotides) under Salvia miltiorrhiza (redroot sage). RNAcentral's name for it is "long non-coding RNA (SMIL_LNC013959)". Lineage: Eukaryota; Viridiplantae; Streptophyta; Magnoliopsida; Lamiales; Lamiaceae. The record is from RNAcentral.
CCAUAGUCAAUAUUGGAUCAAAUAGACCCCCAAAGUUCGAAAAAUCAAAUAAUUAAACCCAUUUGACUAACGGCCCCCGUUAGUCAAUUUUAUUUUAUUGUUUAAUUAUUCUCUUCUUCUAAUUUCUACCCCCAUUUUUUUCUUCUUCCCAUGAGAGGACGGCGAAGCUCCCCCCAUGGUCGGAACCUGGAGAACAGAGAGACGACAACGCUACCUUGCUCUGGCGAACCACGACGAAGGCCGGAGCAACAGCGAUGAUUUCAGAGCCCAGAUUUCCAGGGCAUUUACAAUUGCAGCCACGACGGUGAUUUGCGAGUAUGCAACUCGUCGGACCCCAAAUCGAUGAAGCAGCCGCAACUUCGCCUCGCCGGAACCUCUGAGCCGCAGCGGCCUCGCCGAAAGUUCACGGUCAAAGCAGUAGAUUGAGAAAGAGAGGAGAAUUAGGGCUCGCCCCCUUUCUGCCUCGAUUAUGUGGAGUUGAGAAGAGAGUUCAGGC